RNAcentral lists this ribosomal RNA (1554 nucleotides) under Triticum aestivum (bread wheat). RNAcentral's name for it is "partial small subunit ribosomal RNA". Lineage: Eukaryota; Viridiplantae; Streptophyta; Magnoliopsida; Poales; Poaceae. The record is from RNAcentral.
AUGGCUGUGCUUCGUCAUAGAAGUACUAGACGCGGUGCCAGCCGUGCUAACCAGAAUACUAUUGCUGGUAUAGGCAGCCCCAACAAUGAUAGCUCGCAAAUGUCUCGAUCUGAUGGCGUCAAUACUACUGCUCCUUUAUCUCAAAACAGUGAAGUGAUCCAAAGGCAGCCCCCGUCUCGUCAAAAGGGGAGGAAAAGGAGGGCCACGACAGAACUAAGAGUGCCUCCACAUGGUCAUAAAGUUGGCCUUGAACCGGAAGGUGACAGGCAAUUUAAUUAUGCUGACCCUAAUUCCAAACACUACAAGUAUACUAUGCAACUUGGAAUCAUUCUUAAACGAGAACACCCCAGCAUAAUUGAGAAGAAGGAAGGUGGUGUUGUCAUUAAAACCCGUCCAGCUUUGGAGUGGUCUGAUUAUUAUUAUGAUGAUACUGUAGAUGAUAAGGGGCGGACAGCAGCAGAUCGUGUGAAGCAAGUGUUUUGGAACUUGUUUGAGGUUCAUGUGAAAGAUGGUGAAGACCCGGACAAGGUGGAGGAUGAUGCUGAUCGUGUGUUGGACAACUAUGCAAUGAAAAAAGUGAGGGACAUGAUGUAUCAAGUUUGUGUGGAUGCUGUGAAAUUCUACUAUGAGGAGAAAGGAGAGCUGCUUGAUGACACAUUGGCAUGUUCAAAAGAACUUGAAUAUGAUCAGUACCUGGAAGGCAGAAUACCAUGGUUUAAGGAACAUGCAUGGCCUCAUCUUUGUGCUUAUUGGUGCUCAAAAGAGUUCAAGUCUUUAAGGAAGAGAGGGCAGGAAUCUCGCUUCAAGAGUGAAGAUAUUGCUCAAAAUCGGGGAGGUUCACCGCCAUUUGUGGAGGCUCGACAAAUUCUGGCACGGAAAUAUGGGCCUGAGAAGGCUACCACCCUGAAUACGUAUGCUGCAAUGAAAUCUGGAUUAAAGAAUUGGGAUGGCAGUGGCAGCAUCAGUUCCACCCUCGGCGGGAAGGCAAAAAAAUGCCACGAUGAUUACUGUGAUUUGGCUAGAGCCGCACAUCCUGAUGAUUGGGAGGAGCGAGAGUUAGAUGGGCAAAUGUUAUAUGAGUCAUCAGGUGGCAUUCCUCAUGGGCGACUAGCAAUAGCGGAUGGAGCAAUUAAGAAGGCCGAUGUUAUCUCAAUAGCUAGAGAGAAGAAACUGAGGUCGUUAUCUUCAGCAUCAUUUCGACGAACUAUUCAAGAAAACGAAGAACUGAAGCGACGAGCUAUUCAAGAAAACGAAGAACUGAAGCGACGUAAUGAGAACCUUCAAAAGAUAGUGGAUAUGCAUGGAAGACUUUUCUUGGCCCUUUUAAAGGAGAUGGGAAAAGAACUACGAGAGGAGCUACGCCAAGGAGAAAGUUUCCAACCACAUCACUUGAUGACAACACCGGUGAUGGUGAUUUGGGUGGAACUGUUGGCGGUGACAACUCCAAUGGGAAUAUUGGCGACAUGGCUAUUGGUGCAACUAACCUUCACUCCAACAACCUGGAAAGCGAGACUUAGAGUGGUAGUAACCUGGGCAGUGCCUUUGUUGACUUAG